This 467-nucleotide ribosomal RNA is filed under the name uncultured bacterium. Its description in RNAcentral is "partial 16S ribosomal RNA". It matches the Rfam family "Bacterial small subunit ribosomal RNA", at positions 28 to 507 of the family's 1533-position model. The record is from RNAcentral.
GACGAACGCUGGCGGCGUGCUUAACACAUGCAAGUCGAACGGAAAGGCCUCUUUCGGGGGGUACUCGAGUGGCGAACGGGUGAGUAACACGUGAGUAACCUGCCCUUGACUUUGGGAUAACUUCAGGAAACUGGGGCUAAUACCGGAUAGGAGCUCCUGCUGCAUGGUGGGGGUUGGAAAGUUUCGGCGGUUGGGGAUGGACUCGCGGCGUAUCAGCUUGUUGGUGGGGUAGUGGCUUACCAAGGCGUUGACGGGUAGCCGGCCUGAGGGGGUGACGGGCCACAUUGGGACUGAGAUACGGCCCAGACUCCGACGGGAGGCAGCAGUGGGGAAUAUUGCACAAUGGGUGGAAGCCUGAUGCAGCAACGCCGUGGGCGGGAUGACGGCCUUCGGGUUGUAAACCGCUUUCGCUCAUGACGAAGCUUUGUGUGACGGUAGUGGGUAAAGAAGCACCGGCUAACUACGUG